RNAcentral lists this ribosomal RNA (253 nucleotides) under uncultured bacterium. Its description in RNAcentral is "partial 16S ribosomal RNA". It matches the Rfam family "Bacterial small subunit ribosomal RNA", at positions 524 to 776 of the family's 1533-position model. The record is from RNAcentral.
UACGUAGGGGGCAAGCGUUGUCCGGAAUCAUUGGGCGUAAAGAGCGUGUAGGCGGCCCGAUAAGUCCGCUGUGAAAGUCCAGGGCUCAACCCUGGGAUGCCGGUGGAUACUGUCGGGCUCGAGUCCGGAAGAGGAGUGUGGAAUUCCUGGUGUAGCGGUGAAAUGCGCAGAUAUCAGGAAGAACACCAAUGGCGAAGGCAGCUCUCUGGGACGGUACUGACGCUGAGACGCGAAAGCGUGGGGAGCGAACAGG